Molecule: long non-coding RNA, 213 nt
Filed under: Capsella rubella
Lineage: Eukaryota; Viridiplantae; Streptophyta; Magnoliopsida; Brassicales; Brassicaceae
Description: long non-coding RNA (CRUB_LNC002990)
Source: RNAcentral
UUUUUAUUAUAUCGAGUGUGAUCAAUCACAUAUGAACAACAUUAUGAAAAUUGCCGUUGAAAAUCAACAGUAUUGUUGAGAAAAUGUUUUCUGACGAAUAAUGACAUCUUCGAGUAAAUAACCCAAACAAAAAAAAAAAUAUUUUAGUAUAUUUUUAUUUGUUUACUUUAUUAAUUUCUAAAUUAUCAAUGGUACAAACUUAAUAAAAUUGUG